AGGCNUAACACAUGCAAGUCGAGGGGUAACAGGGAAAAGCUUGCUUUUCCGCUGACGACCGGCGCACGGGUGCGUAACGCGUAUGCAACCUACCUUUUACAGGAGUAUAGCCCAGAGAAAUUUGGAUUAAUCCUCCAUAAUAUCUUUUUCAUGCAUAUGAUUUAGAUUAAAGCUUCGGUGGUAAAAGAUGGGCAUGCGUUUUAUUAGCUAGUAGGUGAGGUAACGGCUCACCUAGGCCACGAUAAAUAGGGGCCCUGAGAGGGGGAUCCCCCACACUGGUACUGAGACACGGACCAGACUCCUACGGGAGGCAGCAGUGAGGAAUAUUGGACAAUGGACGAAAGUCUGAUCCAGCCAUGCCGCGUGCAGGAUGACGGCCCUAUGGGUUGUAAACUGCUUUUAUACAGGAAGAAACACCCCCACGUGUGGGGGCUUGACGGUACUGUACGAAUAAGGAUCGGCUAACUCCGUGCCAGCAGCCGCGGUAAUACGGAGGAUCCAAGCGUUAUCCGGAAUUAUUGGGUUUAAAGGGUCCGCAGGCGGUCUAUUAAGUCAGAGGUGAAAUCUUGCAGCUUAACUGUAAAAUUGCCUUUGAUACUGGUAGACUUGAGUCAUUGUGAAGUGGUUAGAAUGUGUGGUGUAGCGGUGAAAUGCAUAGAUAUCACACAGAAUACCGAUUGCGAAGGCAGAUCACUAACAAUGUACUGACGCUCAUGGACGAAAGCGUGGGGAGCGAACAGGAUUAGAUACCCUGGUAGUCCACGCCGUAAACGAUGGAUACUAACUGUUCGGCCUUAGGGUUGAGUGGUUAAGCGAAAGUGAUAAGUAUCCCA
RNAcentral lists this ribosomal RNA (833 nucleotides) under uncultured Sphingobacteriales bacterium. RNAcentral's name for it is "SSU rRNA". It matches the Rfam family "Bacterial small subunit ribosomal RNA", at positions 44 to 871 of the family's 1533-position model. The record is from RNAcentral. Lineage: Bacteria; Pseudomonadati; Bacteroidota; Sphingobacteriia; Sphingobacteriales.